CUUGUUUUGAGGUGCGAUCCAAUAACACCGCCGCGCCAGGGGGAGGAAAAGCGGCGUAAAGGAACCCCUGUAGGCCACGCAGGAAAGAAGCAAAAUUACGGGUGCAAAACACAGAAGCGGACCAAGCGAAAGCAUUAAGUAAUCCACCUGGGAAGNACGCCGCCAACGGUGAAGCUCAAAGGAAAUGGACGGGGGCCCGCACAAGCGGAGGAAACAUGUGGUUUAAUUCGAUGAGACGCGAGGAACAUGACCCGGGCUUUAAAUGGCACGUGAAAAACGUGGAAACAUGUUAGCCGCAAGGCAGGUGUGAAGGUGCUGCAUGGUUGUCGUCAGCUCGAGCCGUGAGGAGUCGGCUUAAGUGCCAUAACGAGCGCAACCAUUAUCUUUAGUUACUAACAGGUCAUGCUGAGGACUCUAGAGAGACUGCCGUCGUAAGAUGUGAGGAAGGUGGGGAGGACGUCAAAUCAGCACGGCCCUUACGUCCGGGGCUACACACGUGUUACAAUGGGGGGUACAGAAGGCCGCUACCUGGCGACAGGAUGCUAAUCCCAAAAACCUCUCUCAGUUCGGAUCGAAGUCUGCAACCCGACAUCGUGAAGCUGGAUUCGCUAGUAAUCGCGCAUCAGCCAUGGCGCGGUGAAUACGUUCCCGGGCCUUGUACACACCGCCCGUCAAGCCAUGAAAGCCGGGGGUACCCGAAGUACGUAACCGCAAGGAGCGUCCUAGGGUAAAACUGGUAAUUGGGGCUAAGUCGUAACAAGG
Molecule: ribosomal RNA, 762 nt
Filed under: uncultured bacterium
Lineage: Bacteria
Description: bacterial SSU rRNA
Rfam family: Bacterial small subunit ribosomal RNA
Source: RNAcentral